GAUGAACGCUAGCGGCAGGCCUAAUACAUGCAAGUCGAGGGGUAACAUGGUUUUCGGACCGAUGACGACCGGCGGACGGGUGCGUAACGCGUAUGCAACCUACCCACAACUGGGGGAUAGCCCGGAGAAAUCCGGAUUAAUACCCCAUAAUGCAGGGGUACCACCUGGUACUAUUUGCUAAAGAUUUAUUGGUUGUGGAUGGGCAUGCGUCUGAUUAGUUAGUUGGUGAGGUAACGGCUCACCAAGACCGCGAUCAGUAGGGGGUCUGAGAGGAUGAUCCCCCACACUGGCACUGAGAUACGGGCCAGACUCCUACGGGUGGCAG
RNAcentral lists this ribosomal RNA (325 nucleotides) under uncultured Bacteroidota bacterium. RNAcentral describes it as "bacterial SSU rRNA". It matches the Rfam family "Bacterial small subunit ribosomal RNA", at positions 28 to 351 of the family's 1533-position model. Lineage: Bacteria; Pseudomonadati; Bacteroidota. The record is from RNAcentral.